UUUUUUUUUUUUUUUUAAGAUUUUAUUUAUUUAUUCAUGAGAGACACAGAGAGAGAGGAAGAGACAUAGGCAGAGGGAGAAGGCUCCAGGCAGGGAGCCCGAUGUAGGAUUUGAUCCCAGGACUCCAGGAUCACUCCGUGGGCUGAAGGCAGGCAUUAAACCGCUGAGCCUCCCAGGGAUCCCUCAAUAUUGGUUUCUUUUGAGGUGUUUUGCUGCAAAAGGGAGCUGGUUUAGUAGCAGAUAGACUAGGUAGUACCAUGUGUAUACACUCAUAGGAACAAUACAGUAGGGAAGAAAAUUAAUGACAUAGGAAAGGAAAGAAAUUAUGGCACAAAGACAUUGAAUGGAGGGAAUGGUUUUAAAAAGGAGAAUGAAUGGAGUGAUGGGCUGGCUCAGUCACGGAGCAUGAUUUGUCAUCUUGGGAGUUGUGAGUUUGAGCCCCAUGUGAGGUAUAGCAAUUACUUAAAAGUAAAAUCUUAAAACAACAAAAAACAACAUAAAAAGGAGCAUGAACAACUCAGUAGGCAAGAUGGAAAUAUAUACAUGGGUGCAGAUAGUAGUGAGUAGAUGAUGCUGUGGGAGUCAAUGGAAAUUCUCCAAUUGCUUCAACUUUCUUAAUAAAGUAGGAGGAAAGGUCAUCUGUUGACAGAAAUAAUCAUGGGUCAAAGAAAUAAAGUAUGCUUGUCAGGUAGUAUUAAAUGCUUUCUUAAGGAUUCUUUUAAAGAUUUUAUUUGAGAGAGAGAGCACGAGGACAGAAGCUUAACCAACUGAGCCACCCAGGCACUCCCUUUCUUAAGGUUUUUCUUUUUUUUAAGAUUUUAUUUAUUUAUUCAAGAUUUUAUUUAUUUAUUCAGAGAGGGAGAGAGCACAAGCAAGGGGAGAGGGAGAGGUAGGCAAAAGGAGGAGAAGCAGACUCCCUGCUGAGCAGGGAACCGAAUGCAAUGCAAUGCAAUGUGAUGCGGGGCUCCAUCCCAGGACUCCGGGAUCAUGACCUGAGCCAAAGGCAGAUGCUUAACCAACUGAACCAUCCAGGUGUCCCUGUUAAGAUUCCGAUCAGGAAUUUAUAUUAUUGCAGUGAGACUGGCCAACUUACUUUUCUCCAGCUACAUUCCACUACACGGGUGCAAGUGCAGAGCACACAGACUAGCCAAGGAUGUGGCUUGUUGGCAAAUAUUCACAAGAGUGGUGGUGACUGACAAUGGAAGGAAAAGAGGACGUCAGAAUGGUGAACAAGAUGGUAGCAUCCAUUUAUUGAUGGUCACAGUGACUCCAAAUUAAUGUAUUAGGGCAGCCCUGGUGGCUUGGCGGUUUAGUGCUGCCUUCGGCUCAGGGCGUGAUCCUGGGGACCCGGGAUCGAGUCCCACGUCGGGCUCCCUGCGUGGAGCCUGCUUCUCCCUCUGCCUGUGUCUCUGCCCCUCUCUCUGUCUCUCAUGAAUAAAUAAAAUAUUAAAAAAAUUAAUGUAUUAGAGGAAAUGGCCUAGCAAGAUAAUAGGUGAUCAGAGAGAGGGAUGCAUGAAAUUCAAACUAUAGUGACUGAAAAGACUGGUAAUGACUUGGGAAUGAAUGCCCAAGGAAGGUCAAAGACCUAAUCAAUGGACUUUCACAGGAACCAAGAGGCUUGCUAGUUGGAUCAUUUGUCAAUGGUUUUCAAACUUUAGCAUGUGUCAGAAUUACCUGGAAAACCAGUGAAACCACAGAUUGCUAGAUCCUACUCCCAGAAUUUCUAGGUCCGAUUCUGAGGAUUUUCAUUUCUAAGUUUCCUGGUGAUGUUGCUGCUGCUGUGGUCCAGGGACCAUACUUUGAAAAAUACUGAUCCAUGUGUAUGUUGAAAUUGCCAAUUAUUAACAUGUAAGUAGUUUUGCAGAGUGACAGCGAGCCAAGAGAAAAAGAUUGUCAAGAAAUAAAGAACAGCUGGGGUGUCUGGGUGGCUCAGUUGGUAGAGUCCAACUCUUGGUUUUGGCUCAAGUCAUGGUCUCAGGGGUCAUGAGACUGAGCCCUAUGUCCUGUUGGUCUCUGCACUCAGCGGGGAGUCUGCUUGAAAACUGUCUCCCUCUGCCCCCCUUGCUCCCCACCUCCCUGGCUUACAUGUGCACAUUCUCUCAAAAUCUUGAAAAAAAGGGCAGCCCUGGUGGCUCAGCGGGUUUAGCGCCGCCUCCAGCUCAGGGCGUGAUCCCGGGGACCCCGGGGUCGAGUCCCACAUCGGGCUCCCUGCAUGGAGCCUCCUUCUCCCUCUGCCUGUGUCUCUGCCUCUCUCUCUCUGUGUCUCUGAAUAAAUAAAAUGUUAAAAAAAAUACUGAAAAAAAGUAAACAUUAAAAAAAUGAAAUGUUUGGUGACUAAUGAACUGCAACCAUCAGGAAUAGUGGCUAAUGUGAUGAGAUCUAAAAUUGGCUUUUAUGGGGACUGGUUGGAAAUUGUGUGGCUGAAGCAAAGGCUGGUAGCAGAAUGAGAUUAAGGCAAGGCUACAGGCAGAUCAUCAAGGGUCUUCCAUGUCAAUACUUUAAUAGUAGUGGGGUAAGCAGUUCAGUGUGGGUUCCCUGCUAAGGGGAUCUCUGGUGGAGCUGCUUUGUGGUUAUCUUGAGUGAUAACCAUACCAAUUCAUUUCUGGAAGAAAUAAAAAGUAUACUAACUAGGAAAUAUUAAGUCUCACAAAGUUAGAUGUCACUUAACAUGAGUUUAGGUAGGAUGAUAUCUGAUGGGACAAUAAAGCUUAAGUAGCUUGAUAGUAGGGCAAAAUAGAACAUUACUAUAGAAUGGAACUGUGAAAGUACAAUACAGGGAGGUUUAUGAGGCGGUCAGGCAUAAACUAUGAAGUCAGGGCAUAGACUAUGACAUGGGGUCACUAUCUGGGCCCAGUUUGGGAUGCCACUUAUUACUCAUGGGAUCAUUUAAUGUUUCUGCUUAGUACCUAUUAAAUGGGUCUAUCAUUUAUGCCACAUACCUGAGGGAAAAGUCGAGGGUGAAAUGACAUAGUGCAAGUGCUUUGAGGAUGUGAAGAAAGUAAAGUGCAUUGAGCUAUCCUCAGAAAUCAGGGUAGAAGAAACAAGGAGAGCAUGAGGUAUAUAGAACAAAGGAUUAAGUGUAGACAGUUUCACAUCCAUGUGAUCUUGAAAUGAAAGCCUUCUAAAAUGGCUCUGAUAUUUACUGACAUUCAUGUGGAAAAUUUACUUUUACAUAGUGGUUUCUUUUUCCUUAGAAAUUCUACUUUUGGGGACGCCUGGAUGGCUCAGUGGUUGAGCAUCCAUCUGCCUUUGGCUCAGGGUGUGAUCCCGGAGUUCCAGGAUGGAGUCCUGCAUUGGGCUCCCCACAGGG
Molecule: long non-coding RNA, 3310 nt
Filed under: Canis lupus familiaris (dog)
Lineage: Eukaryota; Metazoa; Chordata; Mammalia; Carnivora; Canidae
Description: lncRNA (ENSCAFG00000054238.1)
Source: RNAcentral